This is a long non-coding RNA of Raphanus sativus (radish), 1614 nucleotides long. RefSeq lists it as uncharacterized. The transcript is spliced from 4 exons. Lineage: Eukaryota; Viridiplantae; Streptophyta; Magnoliopsida; Brassicales; Brassicaceae. The record is from RefSeq and is a predicted model, not a curated record.
GAUACCAUCUUGACAGCCCAAUAGGGGUCCACCCUAAUCCUCUCUUUUUGCCGUCUCAUCGACUUUUAGGCUCAUCUCCUCUUUUCGUUCUAUCACAACGUCUGAUCUUUACUUCCAUCACCGAAACGGUUCCUGUUACGAAUUAUCCGUGUUAAAUAGCCUUGAAUGCGCGUAUUUCAGCUAGGCGGUGUAUCAGCAAGUAUAAAAAGAUAAACAUUCUUCCUCUCGAAAAACCAUCUUAUCACGAAAUAAACUUUUUCUGAGAGCAAAGUUUUUCAUUUGGGUUGAUAUGAUCUUGGUGAAUUUUUAAUCAAACUUUUUUUGUUUGUUUGUUGAUUUCGUUUCUAUUUGUCCAUGUUUGCAGGCACCUUCAUAGUCGCCAUUUUCCUUCUUCGCAUUCACCGUCAAUCAUCACCGCUCCUCUGACCGAUUAGUUCUCUUCUUCUCUUAGUGGAGGAAAAUAUGAUCUAUUCUUCAUAUAUAGUGAGAUUCUGUUUCGAUCAGUUUGCAUUUUAAGCUAGAUUGAGAAAUUCGAGUUGAUGUUUAAGAUGAGCAGUUGGGGUUUCUUCACUGUGAAAUGGGGAUACGUAGGUGGUGGAGAUGGCAACAAUGGUGUUAGAACGACCAGUUCGUUGCAGGCUUAUAUUUCUCAAGCACAGAAGAGACAUCAACCCUAGCAUUUUCACAAUACGGCCAAGUGCUUGGAGCUCAAUCUCUUAAAUCUCAAUAUGGCCAAGUGCUUGGAGGCCAAAAGGGUUUGCUUAUGUCACAUUCUCUUCUAAAAAAGAACCUGCCAAAGGUUUAUUAGAACUAAACGGACAGGUAUCAAAUCUCUUUUUUUUUCUAAGCCUAGCAAGCUUUGUUCGUAAGUUCAGUAUCGUCUAAAUCCUUUCACACAAUAAUGUUCUUUUGAAUAUAUAGCUUUCUAAUGUUAGGUGGGGAAUGUAUGAUGAAUAAUUGUGAAUUUCCUGGUGUAGUACUGCAUCAUCAACUCUCCGAGCUGUUUAUGUUGCGUCAUCUUGAUGAGUUUUGUUAUUUUGAUAACAGUAGACAGGCGGAUUGUGAUCCUUGACACAACAAAAGCUGUAAAACAGAAUCGACCCUUCUUGCAUAUUAAAGACACCAACAAAAUCCUCCCUUGAUCUGUGGUCGCUGUUCUUGGUUUAGGAUCCUUCGGGAGGGGUGUAGUGGUCAUUGGUCAAGAAUAUGCGUGCUCUCAAAAGAAACAGAGGAAGCUGAAGAGUAGUCCGUAUUCUGCUCCAAACACAGACUUGGCUCUCAUGGCUUGCUCUCUCCUGAUCCUUCCAGUUGAGGUCUUGCUCUCUCCUGAUCCUUCGAUUUGAGGUUCUAAAUGGUGAGCUUUUUGCUUACCGUAGUUCUUGUGUGUUUUCUAUUUGUAGAAAUUAGCUUAGAAAGUCUAAAAGAUUCUUGGCUUGAUGAUAGUAGUAACAUGUGACAGCAAAUCAUUAUGAAAAGUUGUCAACCUUUUCUCUGUUGUUUGAUCUUGAGUACAAUUGUACAAGAAUCUAGGGUGUGUAUCGUUUAAAUAACUAUGUUUGUGGGAAAGAGUUUUAAGCUUCAGACGGGAAAAAGGUUAUUUAUGUUGGCCAAUUA